This 415-nucleotide ribosomal RNA is filed under the name uncultured bacterium. RNAcentral describes it as "bacterial SSU rRNA". It matches the Rfam family "Bacterial small subunit ribosomal RNA", at positions 355 to 787 of the family's 1533-position model. The record is from RNAcentral.
UGGGGAAUAUUGCACAAUGGGGGAAACCCUGAUGCAGCGACGCCGCGUGAGCGAUGAAGUAUUUCGGUAUGUAAAGCUCCAUCAGCAGGGAAGAAAGUGACGGUACCUGACUAAGAAGCCCCGGCUAACUACGUGCCAGCAGCCGCGGUAAUACGUAGGGGGCAAGCGUUAUCCGGAUUUACUGGGUGUAAAGGGAGCGUAGACGGCAUGGCAAGUCUGAAGUGAAAGCCCGGGGCUCAACCCCGGGACUGCUUUGGAAACUGUCAGGCUAGAGUGCUGGAGAGGUAAGUGGAAUUCCUAGUGUAGCGGUGAAAUGCGUAGAUAUUAGGAGGAACACCAGUGGCGAAGGCGGCUUUCUGGACUGAAACUGACACUGAGGCACGAAAGUGUGGGGAGCAAACAGGAUUAGAUACCC